Molecule: ribosomal RNA, 468 nt
Filed under: uncultured bacterium
Lineage: Bacteria
Description: partial 16S ribosomal RNA
Rfam family: Bacterial small subunit ribosomal RNA
Source: RNAcentral
GACGAACGCUGGCGGCGUGCUUAACACAUGCAAGUCGAACGGAAAGGCCCUGCUUUUGUGGGGUGCUCGAGUGGCGAACGGGUGAGUAACACGUGAGUAACCUGCCCUUGACUUUGGGAUAACUUCAGGAAACUGGGGCUAAUACCGGAUAGGAGCUCCUGCUGCAUGGUGGGGGUUGGAAAGUUUCGGCGGUUGGGGAUGGACUCGCGGCUUAUCAACUUGUUGGUGGGGUAGUGGCUUACCAAGGCUUUGACGGGUAGCCGGCCUGAGAGGGUGACCGGCCACAUUGGGACUGAGAUACGGCCCAGACUCCUACGGGAGGCAGCAGUGGGGAAUAUUGCACAAUGGGCGGAAGCCUGAUGCAGCAACGCCGCGUGCGGGAUGACGGCCUUCGGGCUGUAAACCGCUUUCGCCUGUGACGAAGCGUGAGUGACGGUAAUGGGUAAAGAAGCACCGGCUAACUACGUG